AAGUUAUCAAAAACACUAGUAAUAUACUAAUAAUUUAUAAUCAAUGUUUAAAAGUCACCAACAUGUGCUUAAAUUUCAAAAUUUCAAGUGUUUUUUCAGUUAUUCCUGUGAAUUUACGUUCUUGGGAAUCUGCACUUUUAGCCCCUAGUCUGAUGCACCAGAUUGGUAAAAAUUCAGUCUCAGAAGAACAAAAAUUGAACAAUGUUGUGUGUUCAUAUAAUUUAGAGUAAUUAUAAUUAUAUAUAAAUACAUAAUAGGUGUUGGAUGGCUGUUUAAUGUUCAGCUGCAUUCA
RNAcentral lists this long non-coding RNA (292 nucleotides) under Mytilus galloprovincialis (Mediterranean mussel). Lineage: Eukaryota; Metazoa; Mollusca; Bivalvia; Mytilida; Mytilidae. The record is from RNAcentral.